AGGACGAACGACGAAGAACGAAGAGGAGAAGAAGAACGAAGAAGAUCGGCUGGAGAACGAGUUACACAUUCUUAAAGUGGAAAAGAGUUCGAACUAUACCAAAGAAGGAACGAAGAAGAAGAAAUGGAACAAGAAGAUAUUUCCAGCGUCAAUCCAUUUGGAUAUGUCAAAUAGAACUGUUUUACUGCUGCUCUCCUGCAGCAGUUUUGCUACUGUCUUCAUGCAAGUGUCUGACUAAUCUUGUUGUUGCUGCUGUUUUUUUGUGUCGGUUAUGGCCGCUGCUGUAAUGUUGUUGUCUGCGUGGUGUAACCUAAGGCUACAAGCUGUUCUGCUGCUGUAUUAUAUGUUCUGUUGUUGUUCUCCUGUUGUCCGUGAGGUUCAUUUCUAGCUAUGGGGCUAUAUUCUCUUGAUAAGUGGAAUGGGCUGACUAAUCUCAAUGUGGAAUUGCCGUUCUUCUAUUUUUUGGAUGAUUGGGCUGACAACUCUCAUGUGGAAUGGUCUGUAUUCUCGGUUUGUUGGGUUGGUUUCAUGACUGACUAAUGGUACUUGUGUUGGAUUAUAAUUUGUAUUCUGAAGAUGGUUGACGGUGACGUACUUGAAGAUGGUAAAGUUUGAUUGUAUCAUUUUGAUUGGAUCAUAGUCCAAGUUCGUUUUUUGUUGAAUUUUCCUCUGUUUGUAUGAUCUCAAUUUGUGAGCCAAUAUCCUCAAACCAAUUAUGUGUAGUUCAUACUUUCCAUCUGUGGGGUAAAAGUUCUACGAUUGUUGCUUAA
Rhododendron vialii is the source of this 770-nucleotide long non-coding RNA. RefSeq lists it as uncharacterized. The transcript has 2 exons. The record is from RefSeq and is a predicted model, not a curated record. Lineage: Eukaryota; Viridiplantae; Streptophyta; Magnoliopsida; Ericales; Ericaceae.